Molecule: ribosomal RNA, 198 nt
Filed under: uncultured bacterium
Lineage: Bacteria
Description: partial 16S ribosomal RNA
Rfam family: Bacterial small subunit ribosomal RNA
Source: RNAcentral
GGCUGAAAUUCGCCUUCAUGAAGCUGGAAUUGCUAGUAAUGGCAGGUCAGCAUACUGCCGUGAAUACGUUCCCGGGCCCUUGUACACACCGCCCGUCACACCAUGAGAGUUGGAAAUACCCGAAGCCUGUGAGCUAACUUAAAGAGGCAGCAGUCGAAGGUAGAGCCAAUGAUUGGGGUGAAGUCGUAACAAGGUACC